This 72-nucleotide transfer RNA is filed under the name Dipodomys ordii (Ord's kangaroo rat). It matches the Rfam family "tRNA". From Rfam's summary of the family: Transfer RNA (tRNA) molecules are approximately 80 nucleotides in length. Their secondary structure includes four short double-helical elements and three loops (D, anti-codon, and T loops). The record is from Rfam by way of RNAcentral. Lineage: Eukaryota; Metazoa; Chordata; Mammalia; Rodentia; Heteromyidae.
GGGAAGGUGGUGCAGUGGUAGCAUGCUUGCCUUGCAUGCAUGAGACCCUGGGUUCAAUUCCUCACCACCACA